GCAAAAACGUGGUUGAUUGAGAAUCGUGUGGAAAACAUACGAGACUGUAUCAACGAAUGAAAUCGGUAAAAGAUGGAGAGAUCGUAUGUCUCUAGUUUUCGAUCACUGCAACCCUCAUAAACACGUGGUCUCUUCGUCUUCUUUUGUAUCUUUUUCGUCACUGUUUCGGUACGAAUUUUAUCAGUUUAUCAGAAAAUACUUUUCCUAUUAUUUUCUUCUUU
Molecule: non-coding RNA, 221 nt
Organism: Caenorhabditis elegans
Lineage: Eukaryota; Metazoa; Nematoda; Chromadorea; Rhabditida; Rhabditidae
Source: Ensembl